Apteryx haastii (Great spotted kiwi) is the source of this 93-nucleotide microRNA precursor. The record is from Ensembl. Lineage: Eukaryota; Metazoa; Chordata; Aves; Apterygiformes; Apterygidae.
GUUGAUGGACCCGUCCUCCGGUGCCUACUGAGCUGAUAUCAGUUCUGAUUUUACAUACUGGCUCAGUUCAGCAGGAACAGGAGUCGAGCCCUA